UGUUCUGUGGCUUAGUUGGUUAAAGCGCCGGACUAGCGAUACCGAGUCGUGGGUUCGAAUCCCACCAAAAUAA
Non-coding RNA from Aedes albopictus (Asian tiger mosquito), 73 nucleotides. Lineage: Eukaryota; Metazoa; Arthropoda; Insecta; Diptera; Culicidae. The record is from Rfam.